Molecule: ribosomal RNA, 254 nt
Filed under: uncultured bacterium
Lineage: Bacteria
Description: partial 16S ribosomal RNA
Rfam family: Bacterial small subunit ribosomal RNA
Source: RNAcentral
UACGGAGGGUGCAAGCGUUAAUCGGAAUUACUGGGCGUAAGCGUGCGCAGGCGGUUUGUUAAGUCCGUUGUGAAAGCCCCGAGCUCAACUUGGGAAUUGCAGUGGAUACUGGCAGGCUGGAGUACGGUAGAGGAAGGUGGAAUUCCCGGUGUAGCAGUGAAAUGCGUAGAUAUCGGGAGGAACACCAGUGGCGAAGGCGGCCUUCUGGACCAGUACGUGACGCUCAUGCGACGAAAGCGUGGGGAGCAAACAGG